UACGUAUGGAGCAAGCGUUAUCCGGAUUUACUGGGUGUAAAGGGAGCGUAGGCGGUCUUAUAAGUCUGAUGUGAAAACCCCGGGCUCAACCUGGGGCCUGCAUUGGAAACUGUAGGACUAGAGUGUCGGAGAGGCAAGUGGAAUUCCCGGUGUAGCGGUGAAAUGCAUAGAUAUCGGGAGGAACACCAGUGGCGAAGGCGGCUUGCUGGACGAUAACUGACGCUGAGACUCGAAAGCGUGGGGAG
RNAcentral lists this ribosomal RNA (245 nucleotides) under uncultured Lachnospiraceae bacterium. RNAcentral's name for it is "partial 16S ribosomal RNA". It matches the Rfam family "Bacterial small subunit ribosomal RNA", at positions 524 to 768 of the family's 1533-position model. The record is from RNAcentral. Lineage: Bacteria; Bacillati; Bacillota; Clostridia; Lachnospirales; Lachnospiraceae.